This 253-nucleotide ribosomal RNA is filed under the name uncultured bacterium. RNAcentral's name for it is "partial 16S ribosomal RNA". It matches the Rfam family "Bacterial small subunit ribosomal RNA", at positions 524 to 776 of the family's 1533-position model. The record is from RNAcentral.
UACGGGGGGGGCAAGCGUUGUUCGGAAUUACUGGGCGUAAAGGGUGCGUAGGUGGGCAGGUAAGUCAGUGGUGAAAUCUUUCGGCUUAACCGGAAAAGUGCUUCUGAUACUGGCGAGCUGGAGGGAGGUAGGGGCAGACGGAACUUCCGGUGGAGCGGUGAAAUGCGUAGAUAUCGGAAGGAACGCCGGUGGCGAAAGCGGUCUGCUGGAUCUCUUCUGACGCUGAGGCGCGAAAGCCAGGGGAGCAAACGGG